UUGCGUAAGGGAUUGCAGUGUAAAUCCUUUUCCUUUUUUUUUUAAAAGGAAAAGAUUGCAACGGAAAGCCCGCCCGCCG
Molecule: small RNA, 79 nt
Filed under: Flavobacterium weaverense
Lineage: Bacteria; Pseudomonadati; Bacteroidota; Flavobacteriia; Flavobacteriales; Flavobacteriaceae
Description: Flavo-1 RNA
Rfam family: Flavo-1 RNA (bases 9-72)
Source: RNAcentral